GGAUAUUGAUCUUAGAUAGUAAUUCAGAAGAAAGUCCCCUUAGCAAUUCCAAGACCCUUGACUUUGCCUUAGCACUUGCCUCGUGAUACCUAGCUAUUGCAUCUUCCACCCUCAUUGUAGUGAACCAUUCUUCUCCAACCUUCUUCCCCUUUGAAUCUAGAGCAGGUCUGAGUUGCUUAAUUUGUUCUUCUCCAGCGGUUCCAGCCCAAACAGUUGGUACAAAUCUCUUUCCCUUAAACCAUACAGCUCCA
RNAcentral lists this unclassified non-coding RNA (251 nucleotides) under Hevea brasiliensis (rubber tree). Lineage: Eukaryota; Viridiplantae; Streptophyta; Magnoliopsida; Malpighiales; Euphorbiaceae. The record is from RNAcentral.